This 253-nucleotide ribosomal RNA is filed under the name uncultured bacterium. Its description in RNAcentral is "partial 16S ribosomal RNA". It matches the Rfam family "Bacterial small subunit ribosomal RNA", at positions 524 to 776 of the family's 1533-position model. The record is from RNAcentral.
UACGAAGGGGGCUAGCGUUGCUCGGACUUACUGGGCGUAAAGGGCGCGUAGGCGGCACUGUUAGUCAGGCGUGAAAGUCCUGGGCUCAACCUGGGAACUGCGCUUGAUACGGCAGAGCUAGAGGAUGGAAGAGGGUCGCGGAAUUCCCAGUGUAGAGGUGAAAUUCGUAGAUAUUGGGAAGAACACCGGUGGCGAAGGCGGCGACCUGGACGGAGAUUGACGCUGAGGCACGAAAGCGUGGGGAGCAAACAGG